CCUACGGGAGGCAGCAGUGGGGAAUAUUGGACAAUGGGGGGAACCCUGAUCCAGCCAUGCCGCGUGUGUGAAGAAGGCCCUCGGGUUGUAAAGCACUUUCAGUGAGGAAGAACGCCUGGUGGUUAAUACCCAUCAGGAAAGACAUCACUCACAGAAGAAGCACCGGCUAACUCCGAGCCAGCAGCCGCGGUAAUACGGAGGGUGCGAGCGUUAAUCGGAAUUACUGGGCGUAAAGCGCGCGUAGGUGGCUUGAUAAGCCGGUUGUGAAAGCCCCGGGCUCAACCUGGGAACGGCAUCCGGAACUGUCAAGCUAGAGUGCAGGAGAGGAAGGUAGAAUUCCCGGUGUAGCGGUGAAAUGCGUAGAGAUCGGGAGGAAUACCAGUGGCGAAGGCGGCCUUCUGGACUGACACUGACACUGAGGUGCGAAAGCGUGGGUAGCAAACAGGAUUAGAUACCCCUGUAGUC
RNAcentral lists this ribosomal RNA (465 nucleotides) under Vreelandella stevensii. RNAcentral describes it as "partial 16S ribosomal RNA". It matches the Rfam family "Bacterial small subunit ribosomal RNA", at positions 338 to 795 of the family's 1533-position model. The record is from RNAcentral. Lineage: Bacteria; Pseudomonadati; Pseudomonadota; Gammaproteobacteria; Oceanospirillales; Halomonadaceae.